This 253-nucleotide ribosomal RNA is filed under the name uncultured bacterium. RNAcentral describes it as "partial 16S ribosomal RNA". It matches the Rfam family "Bacterial small subunit ribosomal RNA", at positions 524 to 776 of the family's 1533-position model. The record is from RNAcentral.
UACGUAGGGUGCGAGCGUUAAUCGGAAUUACUGGGCGUAAAGCGUGCGUAGGUGGUCUUUUAAGUCCGUUGUGAAAGCCCUGGGCUCAACCUGGGAAUGGCAGUGGAUACUGGAAGGCUGGAGUACGGUAGAGGAGGGUGGAAUUCCCGGUGUAGAGGUGAAAUUCGUAGAUAUCGGGAGGAACACCGGUGGCGAAGGCGGCGACCUGGGACAAUACUGACGCUGAGGUGCGAAAGCGUGGGGAGCAAACAGG